UACGGAGGGUCCAAGCGUUAUCCGGAAUCAUUGGGUUUAAAGGGUCCGUAGGCGGUUUUGUAAGUCAGUGGUGAAAGCCCAUCGCUCAACGGUGGAACGGCCAUUGAUACUGCAAGACUUGAAUUAUUAGGAAGUAACUAGAAUAUGUAGUGUAGCGGUGAAAUGCUUAGAGAUUACAUGGAACACCAAUUGCGAAGGCAGGUUACUACUAAUUGAUUGACGCUGAUGGACGAAAGCGUGGGGAGCGAACAGG
Molecule: ribosomal RNA, 253 nt
Filed under: uncultured bacterium
Lineage: Bacteria
Description: partial 16S ribosomal RNA
Rfam family: Bacterial small subunit ribosomal RNA
Source: RNAcentral